Molecule: long non-coding RNA, 1622 nt
Organism: Mastomys coucha (southern multimammate mouse)
Lineage: Eukaryota; Metazoa; Chordata; Mammalia; Rodentia; Muridae
Exons: 9
Source: RefSeq, a predicted model, not a curated record
GCUAAGGUCUCCCUGACCAACUGGAGGAAGUAGAUGGCUGAGCUCUGAGGAAAGUGAAAGAUUUUAGCUGUUCAGAACAGCAAUGUCCCUGGCUGGAUGUCCACUAAGAGGUGGUCCUGGACUCAUGACAACUAAGAAGGAGCCGGGACACUUUUCUAUAAGCAAGAACCACAUGUGCAGUGUGGAUGCUGCCAAGCGGGCCUGUGACUGCUAACAACCUGCUCUGUUACAGGCAGGUCUGGACACAAGCUGCUGCUGUGGGUGCAUGAGAGAUCAAGGUGGCAUGGUGUGCACAAAGAAUAAGCAGCUGACUGUCUAAAAGAGAGAACACUGAAGCAAAUGUACACAUCAAGACACAGCACAAUGUGUGCAAUUAUGCAAACCUUAAACAUAAUUAGGGGGAUUCUCGGAGUGCCUAUUGGAUUGCUAGUGUUGCUGGUUUGGAUGUUUCAGUGUUUGCACAAGGAUGACAUAGUGGUUUCUGAGUAUUGAUGGCUAGUGAAGGAAGAUGGACUACUACAGAAGUCCUUCGAAAGGUCCCCAAGCAUCUUAUGAGCUGUGAGCCCUAUUGUCAUGAUGGCUCUCAAACCUGGUCUAGCUGCCAUGCCCAUCAGACCUGAGCCACUUCCUGAAAGUGGCACUCAGCCACUCUGCUUCCUGCUACUGUUGUCAACACAUCAGCCUUACUUGGAGACUCAUGAAUCAGCCACGAGCUUCAUUUCUCAUCGUCUUCCUGCCUCCCAAGGUCAGCAGUACCGUUUGUUCACUCUAAGCUCCCAGGGACUGCCACCUGACCCUCAGGCAGCCAGCAGCCCUGCCUUCUGGUUGAAUAGUUGGACCACGCCAAGAAUCAGAGGUCCCAGAAAAGAAACUACACAGAUGCACCCAGCAAGGAGCAGCAUCCGGAACCAGGGAUGGAUCUAGUCCUGGAGUGAGGGCCAGAGUCCAGAGGACAAUUGGUCACAUCACCAAAAUCUUAGACUUCCUAGCCUGUCAUGUCUCAGGUUUCCUGCAAGUGUUUUUGAUUGCAGCUUCGUUGUGGCCAGUUCCCUGAAGUUCCUGUGGCUUCCCACCACGAUAAGUUGCUUCCUCUCAAACCGCUCUAUAUCUGAAGACAGCAGUAAAUCAACCUUGAAUUUGUCACAUUCCUCUGAGCAAAGCAAAUGAGGGACUCUGGCAGUCAUGGAGCCACCUGCUGGGUGCCACCAUCCUACAGCACUCUCUCCACCUCUCAGCCUACCUGGGAUCAUCCUGUACUUGGAGCCUCAUCUAUGACUCUGAACUGAGGGUCCCUAACAGAGGCUGGUCUGAAGAGGCCACACUGAGGGGGACAUCGACUGCUCUGUAAGCUGGUGCUAUGUGCUGAGAGCUGCAAGGACACUGUGGAGGACAGAUCAUCUUGCUCAGGAGGCAGUUGCCUCAGCUCCCACCUGAAGGUCACCUGCUUUCCACCCUGCAGUUCCUCCAGGUGUUGCUGGGGCUGUAACAUCUGGCCGCAAAGCAUGCGUGGAUGCCAGCCAUCCAUUGUUCUUCAGGCUGCCAGUGGAGCCAUGAUGAGAGGACAUUUGCUGGACUGAGGGCUGGAAUAAAGAGACAGGCUGCCUCAGCCCCUGGACUGACAU